Molecule: long non-coding RNA, 2530 nt
Filed under: Marmota monax (woodchuck)
Lineage: Eukaryota; Metazoa; Chordata; Mammalia; Rodentia; Sciuridae
Source: RNAcentral
AACUGGGGCAAGAGCCCCAGGACAGCCUGCCCCUGGGACGCAGGAACUGGCAGGCGCGGCUCUGAUGGGGUCUGCGGCUCGGAGAGGAAAACCAGACAAAGGCGGCCCGGUACAAAGCCCUGCGUGCAGGUAGCAGCUGCGUGCCCUGCGUCUCUGAUUGUGAGGAAGUGGGUCACUCCUUUGUCACACUACCGAGGACCCCCACCAUCCUUCGGAUCUGUACUCACCCAGGACUACUGGGAGUGAGGAGGGCAGGGCCGCACUCUGGGACUCAGACGGCGGGAGGAGUAAGAACAGCAUCCACAAGAGUCAGCCCUCAUCACACCACGAGCGUUUUCAAAGAAACAAAUAAAAAUAGCCAGAAGUGGGUCAGCACUUACAGUGAGGCUGGAGGCAGGAAACUGGGGCAGAAGUUUUAUUUCAUAAAUCCCAACUCGAGCGCUCUCGCCAACCUGAGUCCCUCUUAUUUUUCUUCCUUUUCCUUCUCUGACUUCUGGAUGCACCAGAAGAGUGUCAAAUCCUGGCUUCAUCUAUUUCCAAGGCUCUUUGCCCUGAGGCUGAGGGGAAGAUGCUAAAAGGAGCUGACUUGGAAAGCAGGUGGGAAGGAGAUGGCACAGGCAGUCUGCCUCCCUCUGCAGCCUCGGCGUGUUGCCUAGGGGAAAGGGCAGCACCCAGGUGGGAAGCAUGAGUCCUCAGACUUUCCUGAACUGGAGCAGGCCUACCCACACCAGCACCCCCUGUACAGCCCCACAGGUCUGUGGCACCUGGGAUGGCACACACAGGUACACUUGUACACACAACAGGACACACAUUUCCAAAACACAUACACCCAGCACACAUGCCUGCAUAGUCCAAACCCAUUCCCACACACACCCCUGACGGGCACACAGUUGUAGACUGUACUCAUAUACCCACUCAGCUCCCAUGCACACACAUGGUGCAUACACAUGGCACCCGUGCACAUACACAGUACAGCUGGCUCUCCCCAUUGUGAGUUCCAUGUCCACGGAUUCAGUGGGGGAGAAGAGCUUGUCUUACACCGACAGGCUUUCCCCUUGCCAUCAUUCCCUAAGUAAUGCAGUAUAACAACUUCUGCCCUGGCAGGCACACUAUGGUAGGUACUGUAAGCAGCCUGGAGAUAAUCUGAAGUACGUGGGAGAAGCACGUGGACUACAUGCAAAAACUGCUCCAUUUUAUGCAAGGGACUUGGGCAUCUGCAGCUCCUGAUGCCCUCUGUGGGGUCGUCAACCCCAUCCCCUCUGGACACCCAGUAGCCACUUGCCCUACUCCUAUGCACACACUGGACCUGCAGAAAUCAGAAACUGGCUCCUGCUCUCUGUACCCUUGACCUUGGCAGCUCUCCUUGGCACCCACAUUUGGCAGGAUUACAUUUCCUUGUGGCCUCAGUGAUGUGAUGGGGCAGAUUUAUUGGGCUUAUCAAAAAAAGAGAGAAGGUGAGAGCAAACUCUGCGGUGCAAUCAUCUCAGCCUUCGGUUUCAGUCUGCAGGUCCCCAGAGCCAAGACGGAAGAAGGACAAAAUGGGGUCGUUGGGUGAGAGUCUGUGUGUGUGGCCAGUGAUUUGCUGGAGCUGUGAAAUGCGCACUGCUCUCAAAUGUAUCGUCUUUGAAUUCAGCAAAAUUCAUACCAAUCUGGGUUUGGUGGGUGACAUAAGCAGCUCGCACAGACCUGCUUGUGCUCCUGCAAACACACAGGCUCAAGAUGGGCUAAAAAAAGAGCAGGCUCCGGGACUCUGGAGGAAUGCCAUGGAAGAGUGGCCCUCCCUCCUGCCUCUCCUCCUGGGGAAGGCCACCGCCCAGAGGCCUAGCGGUCAGCACUCUCACCCAGGCCUCAGGGCUGGAGGAGGGCAAGUGGCCCCCUCUGGGGUUCUGCUGGGAUGCGGACUGUGCUCAGGGUCCCUGACAGCCCCAUCCUCUAGCCAGCAGACUCUGCCGUGGGCAGUCAGCUUUGUCACCUUGAAGUGGUAUUCAUUUCCCUUACUCACAGCUCAGGGAUGGGUCCUCGGAGCCUUUGCCCAACAGAGCCGCCUGUUGGCUGUGAGAGGGUUAGGAUUCCAGAAAGACUCGACCUCAGCUUGUGUGUUCAGCUCCCAGACGCCCAUGGGUGGACAGGUCUCUGGUGUUUCUUAAAAAUCAUGCAGUUUAAAAGAUCUAGCAAGGAUGGUGGAAUGUGAUGGACAUCAUUAUCCAAAGUACAUGUAUGAAGACACUAAUUGGUGUCAACAUACUUUAUAUACAACCAGAGAUAUGAAAAAUUGUGCUGUAUACGUGUAAAAAGAAUUGUAAUGCCUUCUGCUAUCAUUUAUUUUUUUUAAUCAAUUAAAAAAAAAAAAUCUCCUGGCUCUGAAUCUGGCCUAAAAGUGAGGAACCAAACACACACCAACUGCACAAAAUCUUCAAGAAUAAAGGAUUUUUUUUUUAAAGCUUGGGGCUUUCAGGGUGGGAUUUUGGGGGAGUGAAAAGAAGAUCUCAAUCAAAAGAAACUUAAGACCAUGGCCGAAAUUCCCUUUUCU